CUUGGAGAGACUUAAACUGGAAUAGCUAGUUAGGGAGCUAAAGUCCUCAUUUGAAAUCAGCUCUGAAAAACAAAGCUAAAGCCCUGACUGCAUUAAAAUUCAAAUUGAACCUGGCUAGGCAACAACAUGCAUCUCCAGGGUGACUUUGUAGCCAUCUAUUUCCAACAAUACUAUAAAGAGCAGAAGGUUUGAAGGGAGGAGCCCCUGAUGGUGUUAACAAGCUGGUGCAGAUGGAAUUAUAGGCAAUCAGAGGCCAACACUUGACAGCCUAUGAGAAUAAAACAUAUGUAUAUACUUUUAAAGACGUACCAAAAAAGGAAACCUUUAAUAGACGUCUUACCUGAUUUGAAUUCUGUUAUAGAAUACAUUCCCUAGCUUGUAUAUACACCAGCAAUGCUGAAGUCAUGUAUGCAUCUGAUUAGAAAUUGUGACCUUUCCUACUCCAGCUGCAAACUAAAAGAAAAGCAAUGGAGAAAGUUAGACAGUACAGCCAGCACACUACCAUGCUAGAAAGAGCACUUCUCUGCUGCAGUCACAUAAAGCCAAUAGUUCCCUUUGUGGGAUUUGGGCUGAGAUUGACCUUUGAAGCCCAAAUUCAUGACUCCUGUCAGCACUUGCUAUAGCACCCGAUGAAGCUGUUCCUAGCCCCAGCUGUCUGCCCCUGAUCUAGCUGGGGAGCAUCCCUCCCUCCAGGGCAAUGGCAGGACAGAUGCUGUGAUUGCUCCUCACCUGCCAUGGCUGAGUCUAUCUUAGGAUUCUCCGAGUCGGAGCUCUGAGAUCAAGCUGCUAUGGACAGCACUGGUAUUUAUGUGAUCAUGGCAGUGGGGCAGAGAAGCAGCUACAGCUGGUUACAUCCUGAACUACAGCACCUUAACCUGACAGAGACAGAAGAUCAAAGCUGUAGGUCCCACUACAGGACUGAGGAUAUUGUGGCCAAUGACAGGAGAAGGAACAUGUUGUAUGUUGCUUGGGAAGACACAUGGGCAAGGAGGAACGGUUGCCACAAUGUGUGGGGAACAAUGGCAUCCUCUGUCUUACACAGAGAGGCCGGAUCACAGUCAAGAGACUUGGAGUACUGUGGUAGCUCCCAGGAGCCAUGAACCAAGUGCCUCUUAACCUAGGGACUCUAUAAAC
Anser brachyrhynchus (Pink-footed goose) is the source of this 1134-nucleotide long non-coding RNA. The record is from Ensembl. NCBI's taxonomy places the organism in Eukaryota, Metazoa, Chordata, Aves, Anseriformes, Anatidae.